GAGCAAGCUUCAGUGGCAGUAUGUGAGCCAGUGGCCAAGUUAGGUCCUGAGCAAAUGGUUGAAGCACAGGAGCUGCCCUCGGCUCAUGGCGUGGAAGUGGCCAGGGAACCUUCACUGCAAGACACUGUAGCUGCCACUGCCAAGGAAGACCUGCUGCCCAUUCCAGUAGGGCGGGCACCACCCGAGGAUGAGCCUGAGCAGAUUCCUGUGGCACAAAUUACACCUCCUGAGGAGACUGUGGUGCAGGCUGCACCUUCAGCAGAUG
This is a long non-coding RNA of Dermacentor silvarum, 265 nucleotides long. RefSeq lists it as uncharacterized. NCBI's taxonomy places the organism in Eukaryota, Metazoa, Arthropoda, Arachnida, Ixodida, Ixodidae. The record is from RefSeq and is a predicted model, not a curated record. The transcript is spliced from 4 exons.